CGUGGAGACAGGUGGUGCAUGGCUGUCGUCAGCUCGUGUCGUGAGAUGUUGGGUUAAGUCCCGCAACGAGCGCAACCCUCACCCCUUGUUGCCACCGGGUUAUGCCGAGCACUCUAGGGGAACUGCCAGCGUCGAGCUGGAGGAAGGCGGGGAUGACGACAAGUCAUCAUGCCCCUUACGCCCUGGGCGACACACGUGCUACAAUGGCUGGUACAAAGGGAUGCAAGACCGCGAGGUGGAGCUAAUCCCAAAAAACCGGUCUAAGUUCAGAUUGCAGUCUGCAACUCGACUGCAUGUAGGAGGAAUCGCUAGUAAUCGCGUAUCAGCACGACGCGGUGAAUACGUUCCCGGGCCUUGUACACACCGCCCGUCACACCACGAAAGCCUGCUGUACUCGAAGUCGCUGAG
RNAcentral lists this ribosomal RNA (408 nucleotides) under uncultured Methylomirabilota bacterium. Its description in RNAcentral is "bacterial SSU rRNA". It matches the Rfam family "Bacterial small subunit ribosomal RNA", at positions 1027 to 1434 of the family's 1533-position model. Lineage: Bacteria; Methylomirabilota (SeqCode). The record is from RNAcentral.